GUACUGCUGAGGAGUCCCACAAUAGGACAAAACGGCCGUCCAAUGC
This 46-nucleotide non-coding RNA is filed under the name Schistosoma haematobium. Lineage: Eukaryota; Metazoa; Platyhelminthes; Trematoda; Strigeidida; Schistosomatidae. The record is from RNAcentral.